Long non-coding RNA from Vespa mandarinia (Asian giant hornet), 810 nucleotides. NCBI's taxonomy places the organism in Eukaryota, Metazoa, Arthropoda, Insecta, Hymenoptera, Vespidae. The record is from RefSeq and is a predicted model, not a curated record.
UAAAUCGAAUUUUUAAAGGCUCGAGAAAUGCGUAUAUAAUGAUCGAGGAUCAAAGAUGACAAAUUGUGGAUCAUUUUCACGUUCAACUGUUCACGUUGCUCUUCCUCAACUUUGAAUUUCAGGAGGACAAUAAGAAGAAGAGACUUACGAGGUCGGAGUUCUUUUUUCUUUUUCUUUCUUUUUCUCUUUCUUUUUUAUUCCUUUUCCUUUCUUUCUUUUUUCUUUUUUUCUCUCGGACGGUGUCAACGACAAAGGAGUUCCGUGAUCCUGAAGACCUCGGGGUACAUUCGUGGUGGUCAUAAUGCACGCCAGGAUUAGGAUCAUCGAACCUAUAGGACCACCCAAUAGGGAAGGAAAUAGCCCGUGGAAUCGCGUAAGGAUUACUUCCUUAGCGACGUGUGACUAAGAAAGGCGUAGGUGUCCCCCAUCGAUCCCGGUAAACAAAAUGUCGGAAAGAAUGGAUCCUUUGAAGGAUGCUAUCCUUUAUUUUCGAGUAACUCAACAUUGGAACGUGAUCGAAACGGUAGAUGAUAUUUCGUCCACGGGAGAAGAAUAAAACCGGCCAUGCCGAAUGAGAAACAUCGAAGGUUCCCAUGAACCUAACUGUUCGAUUGCCCGGACCCAAUAUUUGAGAUCUCUGGUUUCAAUCGAAAAUCAACGACGAGAGAGAAAGUACAUUCGAGCCGCUACAAAGGAAGACAGACUAUGGUACUCGAGCUGUCGGGACGCUUAUCUUAUCGUACCACACGGAAAAUUGUUCGACGCUAGGUCCUACGUUUCUUCGUUAGGUGCCAAACUCCGGUUAUAUAC